Molecule: long non-coding RNA, 1591 nt
Filed under: Homo sapiens (human)
Lineage: Eukaryota; Metazoa; Chordata; Mammalia; Primates; Hominidae
Description: HSALNT0060638
Source: RNAcentral
CUGGCCUGGCAGAUAAAGUAAAAGCCCCUCUACUUGGAAAAGAAUAAACAGUGGUCAACACUAUUGCCAGGCAACAUGAGGAGAGCUGAGAACAGUGGGGAUCUGCAAAUCAAGCCUGCGUCUGGAAACAGCAGUUUUCCCAGCCCAGCCCAUUGCUAGCUCCUGACAAGCUUUUUACCAUUUAUGUAAAAUUAUGUGUGUGUCUGUACAUAGCCACAGAGGGCUAUGAAGAGAGAAUGCCAGCAGGCUCUCCAGCAUCAUCCACUAACACUUUCUAAGAUGACAGAAAUGUGCUACAUCUGCACUGUCCAAAACAGUAGCCGUGAGCCUCCUGAGCUGCUGAGCACUUGGAAUAUGAGUAAAAGUCUUUGCUGGUGCAUCAGAUUGGCAGAGCAUAGAUCACAUGUCUGUGCCCUAGCUGCAAGGGAGUCUAGGCUCAGAAGCUGCUCUCCUGGAAACUGGACCUGCGACUACCAUCUCUUGACCCACUGGAUGCCUUAAUGCCCAUAUAUCCAGGUGUCACUGGGCAAGCAGUCAAUGCAGAGAUUGGCCACCUUCUCUGAAGCUGAAGCAAUGGGGCAGCAAAGAGUGUCUGCGAUCAGAAGAAGAAAGGAAAAUUGCCACCAUCCUUAGGAAUUUGACAUAUGGAGUUAUAUUUCAGACAACAUUUUGGGGAGAGGCCUUGAGUUUAUUGAAUGAUCAGAAGAAAAAGGUAUUUAGGAUGGAAAUCUGGGAGAUCAAGGCACAGUUGACUGAACCAUUCCAAUUCCAAAUUGUAAGCUCCAUGAGGGUAGGGAUUUUUGUCUAGUUUGUUCAUUGCUGCAUCUCUAGCCAGACCUAAAACAGCAUCUGGCAUAUAAGAGGUACUCAAUCAAUAUUUAGUGAGUCAGUGACUAUGGAAUUCAGCAGAGGAGAGGUGGUCAGGGAAGGAGGCAAACCUAAAAAGCAAAAUGAGAAAUGUGACUUAAUUCAAGUCCUAGAGAGGGAAUGAGGCAGUGAAAUUUGGCGAAUCAGAUCAUGAGCUGUGACCACAGGCAGAUUUGAGUUCAACUCAGGCUUUGCUACUUAGUAGCUCUGUGACUACUGGAAAAAUCAUUUAGCCUCUCCAAGACUCAGUUUUAUCAUCUGUACAAUGGGACUUAUAUUAAAUAUGGUGAUUCUGCAAAUUAAAUAAGGUGAUUUGCAUGACAUAUCUUGUACAUAGUAGACACUCAAUUAUCUGUUCAUAAGGAGGCACAUAUGGUACAUACAUAUGCAUACACACACACACAUGCACACACACGCACAAUCUCAAGGGAUUCUAGGGUAAUAGUGUUUAUAACAUGCUUUCAUAUCCCCAAGAGGAAGAAGUAUGCUACUUCGUCAGUUGUAAAAGGCUUGAUAAUAUAUUGGCUUUAAGGAUGACACAAAUUAAUGCAAAAAACAUGUGAACAAGUGGAGCUUAUAAACUUACGCGGCUGCACCAGCCCAUUACUUUGAGUCCUAACCAUAUGACUAAGUUUUUAGUUGCUUAAGCAAAUAAAUGUUAUCAAACACCCUUUGAAGAACAAGUUAAUUUGAAAUUGAAGUUUUUUCUUAAAUUGACCAUUUG